GCCGCAGUGGCCUAGCCUGGUUAGGGCGCGAGACUCAUAACUUCGUGAUAGAGAGAUCAUCCCACCUGCGGCACCA
Molecule: transfer RNA, 76 nt
Filed under: Candidatus Thorarchaeota archaeon SMTZ-45
Lineage: Archaea; Promethearchaeati; Candidatus Thorarchaeota
Description: tRNA-Met
Rfam family: tRNA
About the family: Transfer RNA (tRNA) molecules are approximately 80 nucleotides in length. Their secondary structure includes four short double-helical elements and three loops (D, anti-codon, and T loops).
Source: RNAcentral